RNAcentral lists this ribosomal RNA (237 nucleotides) under uncultured bacterium. RNAcentral's name for it is "partial 16S ribosomal RNA". It matches the Rfam family "Bacterial small subunit ribosomal RNA", at positions 15 to 240 of the family's 1533-position model. The record is from RNAcentral.
GAUCAUGGCUCAGGAUGAGCGCUAGCUACAGGCUUAACACAUGCAAGUCGAGGGGAAACGACAUCGAAAGCCUGCUUUUGAUGGGCGUCGACCGGCGCACGGGUGAGUAACGCGUAUCCAACCUGCCCAUCACUUGGGAAUAACCUUGCGAAAGUAAGACUAAUGCCCAAUGAUAUCCCACGAAGGCAUCCGAAUGGGAUUAAAGAUUUAUCGGUGAGUGAGGUGGGAGUCGUCGUU